Molecule: ribosomal RNA, 464 nt
Filed under: Vreelandella stevensii
Lineage: Bacteria; Pseudomonadati; Pseudomonadota; Gammaproteobacteria; Oceanospirillales; Halomonadaceae
Description: partial 16S ribosomal RNA
Rfam family: Bacterial small subunit ribosomal RNA
Source: RNAcentral
CCUACGGGAGGCAGCAGUGGGGAAUAUUGGACAAUGGGCGAAAGCCUGAUCCAGCCAUGCCGCGUGUGUGAAGAAGGCCUUCGGGUUGUAAAGCACUUUCAGUGGGGAAGAAAGCCUUGGGGCUAAUACCCUCGAGGAAGGACAUCACCCACAGAAGAAGCACCGGCUAACUCCGUGCCAGCAGCCGCGGUAAUACGGAGGGUGCGAGCGUUAAUCGGAAUUACUGGGCGUAAAGCGCGCGUAGGCGGUCUGAUAAGCCGGUUGUGAAAGCCCCGGGCUCAACCUGGGAACGGCAUCCGGAACGGUCGGGGUGGGGUGCAGGAGGGGAAGGUAGAAUCCCCGGUGUAGCGGUGAAUUGGGUAGGGAUCGGGGGGAAAACCGGUGGCGAAGGCGGCCUUCUGGACUGACACUGACGCUGAGGGGCGAAAGCGUGGGUAGCAAACAGGAUUAGAUACCCAGUAGUC